UGAGGAAUAUUGGUCAAUGGACGGAAGUCUGAACCAGCCAUGCCGCGUGCAGGAAGACGGCUCUAUGAGUUGUAAACUGCUUUUGUACGAGGGUAAACUCGGGUACGUGUACCCGACUGAAAGUAUCGUAUGAAUAAGGAUCGGCUAACUCCGUGCCAGCAGCCGCGGUAAUACGGAGGAUCCAAGCGUUAUCCGGAUUUAUUGGGUUUAAAGGGUGCGUAGGCGGUCUUGUAAGUCAGUGGUGAAAUUUUGGUGCUUAACAGCAAACGUGCCAUUGAUACUGUGAGGCUAGAGAGUAGAUGCGGUAGGCGGAAUGUAUGGUGUAGCGGUGAAAUGCUUAGAGAUCAUACAGAACACCGAUUGCGAAAGCAGCUUACCAAACUAUAUCUGACGUUGAGGCACGAAAGCGUGGGGAGCAAACAGG
Molecule: ribosomal RNA, 424 nt
Filed under: uncultured bacterium
Lineage: Bacteria
Description: bacterial SSU rRNA
Rfam family: Bacterial small subunit ribosomal RNA
Source: RNAcentral